RNAcentral lists this ribosomal RNA (301 nucleotides) under uncultured bacterium. Its description in RNAcentral is "partial 16S ribosomal RNA". It matches the Rfam family "Bacterial small subunit ribosomal RNA", at positions 509 to 807 of the family's 1533-position model. The record is from RNAcentral.
CAGUAGCCGCGGUAACACGUAGGGUGCGAGCGUUAAUCGGAAUUACUGGGCGUAAAGUGUGCGUAGGUGGUUAUGUAAGUGAGAUGUGAAAUCCCCGGGCUCAACCUGGGAACUGCAUCUUAUACUGCGUAACUGGAGUGCAGUAGAGGGUAGUGGAAUUUCCGGUGUAGCGGUGAAAUGCGUAGAUAUGUGGAGGAAUACCGGUGGCAAGGGCAGCCCCCUGGGCCAAUACUGACGCUCAUGCACGAAAGCGUGGGGAGCAAACAGGAUUAGAUACCCCUGUAGUCCCUGUCUCUUAUAC